This 1644-nucleotide ribosomal RNA is filed under the name Triticum aestivum (bread wheat). RNAcentral's name for it is "partial small subunit ribosomal RNA". Lineage: Eukaryota; Viridiplantae; Streptophyta; Magnoliopsida; Poales; Poaceae. The record is from RNAcentral.
AUGGAGGCGACGGCGGUGAGCGUGGGCAAGGCCGUGCUCGAUGGCGCGCUCGGCUAUGCGAGCUCCAAGGCGGCGGAGGAAAUCGGGCUGCAGCUUGGCGUUGAGUCCGACGUGGACUUCAUCAGAGACGAGCUGCAGAUGAUGCAGUCGUUCCUGAUGACGGCUGAUGAGGAGCAGAGUCAGAACAAGGUGCUCGCAACCUGGGUGAAACAGAUCGGGGUUCUGGCCUACAAGGUGGAGGACAGCCUCAUGGAUUUCGGCCUCUACUCGGAGAAAAAGUCAUUCUUAGGGUGCAUCCCCCGCAACCCAAUGGAUCGACGCCGCAUUGCCAAGGAGGUGAAGGAGCUCAGGGCCAAGGUGGAGGACGUGAGCAACAGGAACCUGCGCUAUCGCCUCAUCAAGGAGAGCUCAGCCUCCAAGCCUUCAGCGACAGAGGAGCAGGCCAAAAUCGCCACUGAAGCAAUGUUUGGCAUGAACGAAGCAAGGCUUACUGCCUUGGACCACAGAAAAUCAUCAGAGGUGAACCUCCAACAGCUGAUUACCAGCAACGAUGUUGACCUUAGGGUGAUCGCCGUGUGGGGAACUAGCGGUAAUCGUGGGAAGACGCCUGCCAUCCAGGAAGUUUAUGAUGACCCAAUGGUGCUGAAAAGGUUUGGAUUCCGUGCUUGGAUUAGGUUGAUGCAUCCUUUCAAUCCACAAGAGUUCCUGCAGAGCUUGGUCAAGCAAUUCUAUGAAAGUUCCCAUGAUGAGGUUGGAAAGGCAGAACAAGUAACAAGUGUCGGGGCUAAUGUUCUGGCCAAGAUGGAGAAGAUGACUCAAAGUGAUUUAGUCCGUGUGUUUAAUGCACAGUUGUGUAGCAAUAGCUACCUUGUUGUCAUUAUUGACCUGUCCACAAUAGAAGAGUGGCAUUGCAUUAAGAAGUACUUUCCUGAAAACAAGAGACAAAGUAGAAUCAUCGUUUCCACACAGCAAGAUGAAAUUGCAUGCUUGUGCACAGAGAAACCGUAUCAGAUGUCCAAGUUCAGGCAGUUGUCAUAUGAUCAAACUAUUUAUUUGUUCCACAAGAAGACAUCACAGGAACAGAUCAGUUUAAUUGACAACAACGACAAAGCAAUGGUUGCUGCUGUGGACAAGGCGAAACUGAAGGUUAUUCAUGCAUCAUGUUCUGCUGCUGAGCCCAUUUCUGACUCAAACAAAGUUACUACUAGUGAGAAACACACAGCAGUGCCCGCCGGUGAAAUACUGGAGGAAGAUCAAAAACCUAACAAUGCAGAUGAAGACAAAAUUUGCAACUCAACUGCUAGAAAGAAGUUUGAUCGCAGCAGGACACUGGCACUGGCUGAUGAAGUGCUAUGUAAGCGAGAAACUGAGAAAACUAAUGUCAUCAAUUUAGUUGGCCAACCAGACAACAAUCGAGGCUGUAAGGUGGUUUCUGUUUGGGGAAUGGGUGGUCUUGGAAAAACCACCCUCGUCCGGAGCAUCUACCGAAGCCAAGAGCUUGGUGUCUGGAAGCGUGCUUGGGCCACUGCAUUGCGUCCUUUUAACCCUGAGGUACUCCUUAGAGAUUUGGCUCUGCAGCUUCAGAAUACUAUUGAUGAACAGCCUGCUAGAACGAAAGAAAAAGUUAGCCGGGAUGAAACUUGA